Long non-coding RNA from Cygnus atratus (black swan), 2973 nucleotides. RefSeq lists it as uncharacterized. NCBI's taxonomy places the organism in Eukaryota, Metazoa, Chordata, Aves, Anseriformes, Anatidae. The transcript is spliced from 4 exons. The record is from RefSeq and is a predicted model, not a curated record.
CCCGUCUGGGUACUUUUCAGCUCUGGUACAGGGCACACCAGUGUAGCAAAUGGUUUCCAGUGCAGACUUCUGCAUGGGGCAGUUCUGGAGCCCCAAAUAAUCCUCUCUGAGUGCCAGAAAUGACUGUGCUGUUUGCCUGGUGAUCUGUCCUGCACAGCACUUGAAUAACUGCUACGGAGCAGCUCUUCCAGAAACAACAUUGCUGUGAGACCAGAUCCAGCUUUGCUUUGGGAAUGCGAGCUGUGCUGGCCUUUCCGUCACACCUCGGGGCGCUGAGUGAAUUCAAGCUGCAGCAACUUGACUUUUGGGAGGAAGAUGUGGGCUCAGCUCCCCGCUCCUCAGGCACCCCGUACCAUCACGGUGUGAUGAGGACACUCAGAACUGCAGGGUCGGAGCUAAAUGUGAAGGCUGUCAAUGGAAUUGCUGAUGAGGACCUGAAGAUGACAUGGUGAAUGAUAGCAGUUUCAUCACUUCCACUGUUUCCAGUAAUGUUUUCCCUGAGAAGCUGUCACAAUAAAGCCGCAGACCUGUUCCGACACGCUCGACUCUUCGAGGAGCAUUAGCCAAGCAUCUUGCAUAAGGUACUUUCAUUCCUGAAGUGUGCACACACGAAGAUGUGUUCCCGAGUUGUCCCUUCCCCAUGCCACUGGCAGGCACCAGUGUCAGGGAUGGGGAGGCAGUCCUCUUCAGCUCCAUCCCCACAGGAGAUGGCCGCAGCUCACAGUCCAGGUGGACCAGCAUUGGCAGAGCUGCAAGCCAAAUUGCUGGAACAAAAUCCUACCGCUUCGGCUGGAAAAUCUGUUCAGCUGGAGCUGGGCUGCAGAAGAGGAUGGCUACCUCAUUUUGCAUAAGACACCAGCGAGUAAUCUGAUGAUUUUCUGUGACUAAUACAAUAGGUCGUAUCUGAAUGGUCGGUGGAGAGAUGAGAGGUUUCAUAUUCUAUUACCAAAUCCCUGAGCCAUCUGGUUCCUAAUGACUUCUUUCAAAACAAAGGGAAUAAAACUUCUGAGUUGUGCAAGGCAUUUUGACAUCCUCUUUUAGGCAGAAGAUGGACGUUGCUUCACAUUGGCAAACAAUAUCAAUCAAAUCAUCAAUUAAAGCUUCUGUGCACCCCUUGCAGGUAUUUCUGACCACAUGUUUGAUGGCAAAUACACCUUGCUCAAGCUGGUAUUGUCCAUCACCGGGAAUCGGGGGGGUGGAAAACAGAGGGCAGUGCCUGUUUCCACAGCGGGUGCUGGUUCCUAGGGGUCAGCACGUGGGCUCGGGGCUGUGCGUGAGCACAACCCAGGCAGGUUUGGAUCACUAAUCCCAAGAGCAGCACCUACAGCAGCGACGGCCACAGGGCUGUCUGCAGCCAGAGUCAGAGCCUGUGGCCACCAAAGCCCACGCCACGCUCACCCAGCUGGUAAAAUUACCCGAGCUGGCUUAUUUAAAUGAUAGCUCAGUUACAUUUAUUAGCUGCGGUCAUAGUGCAACCUGCCCGAGGAAAACCCAGGCCAGAAACUUAUCCACAAAUGCUUUCACUGUUGAGAAGCUCUCAGCCUUGUGGGAUUUGCACGGUGUCUGGCACAGCCCCUGAGCCUCCUCUGGUUGCUUCAGCACCUGCCUGGGCAGCCCUGGGCUGCAGCAAGGCACCUGCAGAGAUGCUCACGGCUUCUGCCCGCGGUCCUGCCCGUCCCUGCAAUUUGAGUUAAAACCACCCAGACACAGAGGGGCAUAAAACUGAUAUAUUUAUUACGCCCUAGUUAUUGCUUAUACAGUUUAGCCAAGCAUAUCAUAACAUAACAUGCUUUGUGCUAUCUGGGAUUACAUAUCCAAUAAGUACGGUAUAUUAUAAGCAUACUUUAGCACUAUUAUGUAUAAUUAUAUAUGUUUAUAGAUUCCCCCAUUACACACCAGCUUAGUUCUUUGUUACAUUUGUGAUAUGCUGCCUGUUGCAUCACGUCACUAAUGAUAUGCUGCCCAUAAUUAAGUACAUUUAUAGAUGUGUGCCAUAUUUAUUGCACCCUAUGGGAUUUGCAUCAUCAAUCAGAGUCAUCCUGUUGUUAGGUCAGCUCGUGUUUGUUUGCUUAAUUUCUCUUGAUUCUUUAAACAUCUGUCCUUUAAGUGGUGAGUUCCUUGCACAGGAUUCAUCCAGUAGUUAGACCUGACUUGUUAACCCAACGGGUGAAAUCCUGGUUCCCUAAAAGCCCUGGUCAAGCACCCAGACGUUUCACAAGGGCUGGGCUUGUACCACGUGUGGCUGCUGCUGCACAUCUUCCUGAUCCAGCUUGUUUAGGAAGAGCUCUGCUUUUUCAUGGGUUCAGGGUGGCUGUGAAUGUGAACUCAGCCCUCGAGUGAAAGGCUGGUUGAGGGUCUGCAACACCUAAAAUUUGGGCUGCCAGAUGUAGCUCCUCCAUAUUGCUUGCUCAAGGGUAAGGACUCUUGGGCCUGCAAAUAGCAUUGAUCUGCUGUGCGCCUUUGGUCCUUCCCCUAAUGCCUAUUGAAUCGUUUCUCUCUCCAUAGUACAUAAUUUAGGUCUGGUUGAGUACAAAGUAUUUUAUUUAUUUAUGUAUUCAAAUUUUUAAAAUGCAUCUCUAGGCAUCUCAGCAGUACGCUGGGCGCCUACCACAUAAAUUAAAAAUAACAGCAUAAAGUUAGACAAGGGGCUACCCAUAAAUAACUCCUCCUCAAUUCACAACCUUAGCGAUAGCCUCAGCUCGGGACAGGGAAAUAGAUGGCCUUUACAGCCCGUGGGGAAGGUUAAUAAAUCUGGGCGCUGACGGACCAAAGGGGAAAAUGAGUUUCAAAUCUGGGGCUCCCCUCUCCAUCCCCUUCCUGGAGAUACCUUGCUGAACUGGGCAGUCAGAAGAUGGCUAUGAGGAUCAGGCAGUUUUAAUAGAUGCCAGAUUAAGCACCAAAAUCACUGUUUUGUGUUCUGAAAAGGUAUGUCUGUGUGUGAGAGCAUUCAGGGGAAAACAUCCUCUUUAGAAG